This 253-nucleotide ribosomal RNA is filed under the name uncultured bacterium. RNAcentral describes it as "partial 16S ribosomal RNA". It matches the Rfam family "Bacterial small subunit ribosomal RNA", at positions 524 to 776 of the family's 1533-position model. The record is from RNAcentral.
UACGGAGGGUGCGAGCGUUGUCCGGAAUCACUGGGCGUAAAGGGCGCGUAGGUGGCCCGUUAAGUGGCUGGUGAAAUCCCGCGGCUCAACUGCGGGGCUGCCGGUCAUACUGGCGAGCUAGAGCACGGUAGGGGCAGAUGGAAUUCCCGGUGUAGCGGUGGAAUGCGUAGAGAUCGGGAAGAACAUCGGUGGCGAAGGCGGUCUGCUGGGCCGUUGCUGACGCUGAGGCGCGACAGCGUGGGGAGCAAACAGG